GACGAACGCUGGCGGCGUGCCUAAUACAUGCAAGUAGAACGCUGAAGAGAGGAGCUUGCUCUUCUGGAUGAGUUGCGAACGGGUGAGUAACGCGUAGGUAACCUGCCUUGUAGCGGGGGAUAACUAUUGGAAACGAUAGCUAAUACCGCAUAACAAUAGGUGACACAUGUCAUUUAUUUGAAAGGGGCAAUUGCUCCACUACAAGAUGGACCUGCGUUGUAUUAGCUAGUAGGUGAGGUAACGGCUCACCUAGGCGACGAUACAUAGCCGACCUGAGAGGGUGAUCGGCCACACUGGGACUGAGACACGGCCCAGACUCCUACGGGAGGCAGCAGUAGGGAAUCUUCGGCAAUGGGGGCAACCCUGACCGAGCAACGCCGCGUGAGUGAAGAAGGUUUUCGGAUCGUAAAGCUCUGUUGUAAGUCAAGAACGAGUGUGAGAGUGGAAAGUUCACACUAUGACGGUAGCUUACCAGAAAGGGACGGCUAACUACGUGCCAGCAGCCGCGGUAAUACGUAGGUCCCGAGCGUUGUCCGGAUUUAUUGGGCGUAAAGCGAGCGCAGGCGGUUUGAUAAGUCUGAAGUUAAAGGCUGUGGCUCAACCAUAGUUCGCUUUGGAAACUGUCAAACUUGAGUGCAGAAGGGGAGAGUGGAAUUCCAUGUGUAGCGGUGAAAUGCGUAGAUAUAUGGAGGAACACCGGUGGCGAAAGCGGCUCUCUGGUCUGUAACUGACGCUGAGGCUCGAAAGCGUGGGGAGCGAACAGG
RNAcentral lists this ribosomal RNA (764 nucleotides) under uncultured Streptococcus sp. Its description in RNAcentral is "bacterial SSU rRNA". It matches the Rfam family "Bacterial small subunit ribosomal RNA", at positions 28 to 776 of the family's 1533-position model. Lineage: Bacteria; Bacillati; Bacillota; Bacilli; Lactobacillales; Streptococcaceae. The record is from RNAcentral.